GCUCCGUUGGUGAACCAGCGGAGGGAUCAUUACCGAAGUUACCUUCAAAACCCACUGUGAACCUUACCUCUUGCCGCGUUGUCUCGGCGGGAGGCGGUGUGCGUCGCGCGCCCUAGCGGGCCGCGCCGCUCCCGUCCCCGCCGGCAGCGCCAAACUCUAAAUGCACAGCGGACUGUACGUUCUGAUUUACAAAAAAAACAAGUUAAAACUUUCAACAACGGAUCUCUUGGUUCUG
RNAcentral lists this unclassified non-coding RNA (235 nucleotides) under plant metagenome. RNAcentral's name for it is "partial contains small subunit ribosomal RNA, internal transcribed spacer 1, and 5.8S ribosomal RNA". The record is from RNAcentral.